CGCGUAGGCGGGGAUACAAGUCAGGUGUGAAAUCUAUGGGCUUAACCCAUAAACUGCACUUGAAACUGUAUCUCUUGAGUGUCGGAGAGGUAGACGGAAUUCCUAGUGUAGCGGUGAAAUGCGUAGAUAUUAGGAGGAACACCAGUGGCGAAGGCGGUCUACUGGACGAUAACUGACGCUGAGGCGCGAAAGCGUGGGGAGCAAACA
RNAcentral lists this ribosomal RNA (207 nucleotides) under uncultured bacterium. Its description in RNAcentral is "partial 16S ribosomal RNA". It matches the Rfam family "Bacterial small subunit ribosomal RNA", at positions 568 to 774 of the family's 1533-position model. The record is from RNAcentral.